UGCUUCUGGCUGCUAAGUGUAAAUUAUGUAAUGUAAUGUAUGUAUGUAUGUAUAUAUGUAUGUAUGUAUGUAUGUAUGUAUGUAUGUAUAUAUGUAUUUUGGCUGGUUCAUGGUCUGUCCAUGGGGGAGUAUAAUGAAAGACUCUUAAAGCGUGAGUUCCCAAGGACACUGUGACAGAGAAUUUUGUUUUCUAAAGUUUGAGUUUUUAUUGGCUCAUAUUCUUUAUGGUACUGGGUUUCAUAGGAAUGCUUUCCAUACAACUAUGGAAUAUACUUAGAACAUAUUUUCUCUAUAUUAACCCCUCCCACUUCCAGUUACUCCCUUUUGUCUCUAGAAAAUCUUGCUUUUAUCUUCAUGUCAUAUAUACAUACACAGUUUUAUGUGUCUAUUUUUUUGUUUGUUUGCUUGUUUUGAGACAGGGCUUUACAUAGCCCUGGCUAUACUAGAACUUUUAUCAACCAGGUUAGCCUUGAACUCACAGAAAUGUGUCUUUGUUUACCUCCCAAGUGCUGGAAUUAAAGGUGCCUGACACCAUGUCCAGCUCACAUGUCUUUUUAUUAUUAUCAGUUUUUGUUUUUUUUUUUUUUUCAUUUUGGUUUUUCAAGACAGGGUUUCACUGUGUAUCCCUGGCUGUCCUGGACCAGCUGGCCUCAUACUCAGAGAUCUACCUGCCUCUGCCUCCCAAGUGCUGAGGUUAAAAGCGUGUGCCACCAUGGGCCAAUGUGUCUAAUUUUUUUGAGGGGGGAGGUAGCACACAUGUAAACGUGUGUGUGGAUGCCAUCAGAGCUGAAGUUGCAGGCAUUUGUGGACAGAGUACCAUGUGGAUGCUGAAAAUCAAACUCUGGUCCUUUGAAAGAGCAUCAACUUUUGAGAUAUCUUUCCAGCCCUUAGUUUAUGCAUCUAUAUAAAAAUCUAUAAUAUAUAAAUAAGAGAAAACAUGACAUAUUUGUAUUUGAGACUGACUCCAUGCACUUAAUAUUAUAAUCUCCGGUUGAAUCCAUUUUUCUACAAAUGACAGAAUUUUGUUCUUUAUAGCUGAAUAAAAUUGUGUGUAUGUGUGUGUGUUCAUAUGUGUAGUGUAUCCCACUUUCUUUGGUUAUUAUUUUAUUUGGUUAUUUUGUUGUUGAAGGAUCACUAGGUUGGUUCUGUCACUUGUAUUCUGAAUAGUGCUGCAGCAAACAUGGAUGCACAAAUGCCUGCCUGUGUGGCACAUUGACUUUGAGCCCUGCACCAGAAGUGAUAUGGUGACUCUUGUAAUGGUAGACAAAUUUUUAGUCUAUUGAAGUGCCUAAACUGAUUUUCUUAGAGGCUGGACUAGUUUAUAUUUUACUUUUUUUAUUUUUAAAAAAAGGAUUUAUGUGUGUGCAUGUUUUACCUGUGUGUAUGCGAAUCAUGUGUGCGCCUGGUUCCUACUGAAGUCAGAAGAGGGCAUUGGAUCUCUGGAACUGGAGUUAUGGAUGCUUGUAGCUUACAAUCAUCUGACCUGGAUCCUCUGCAAGAGCAACAAGUGCUCUUAGCUGAGCCAUCUCUCUAGCCCCAGGGGUUUACUUUUUGUAAGAGAGCGUUUAUUAGCAGAAAGAAGGUUCUGAUCUAUACGAUAUUGGUAGGGAUUGGAAGCAAGUGAAAUUUAUCCACUACUGUUUAGACUGUUUAAUCACUUUAGAAAACGAUUUGUCGCCGGGCAGUGGCGCACGCCUUUAAUCCCAGCACUUGGGAGGCAGAGGCAGGCAGAUUACUGAGUUUGAGGCCAGCCAGGGCUACACAGAAGAAGCCCUGAAAAACC
This 1783-nucleotide long non-coding RNA is filed under the name Mus musculus (house mouse). Its description in RNAcentral is "long non-coding RNA chr10:58510575-58512358". Lineage: Eukaryota; Metazoa; Chordata; Mammalia; Rodentia; Muridae. The record is from RNAcentral.